Gallus gallus (chicken) is the source of this 81-nucleotide microRNA precursor. The record is from Ensembl. NCBI's taxonomy places the organism in Eukaryota, Metazoa, Chordata, Aves, Galliformes, Phasianidae.
GCUGACAUGGUUUAUUGCAGCGCUGGGUGCAUGGAGAUCUUCACUUAGCGUGCACCCAGCGCUGAAAUAACCAAUGUUGGC